UUUGUUGACAUUAAUUUAAUUUAAUUUAUUUUGUUAUCUUAAAUAUUUGCACACUAAUAAUUUAGUAGAAAGUUAAGGCCUCUAAUCAUAAAUUUCAAUCUUACUGUACCAACUUUCUUGCAAAUAAAUUAUCUUAUCUUAUCUUAUCCUGUGGGCUCUUGACUUGGCGGUGAGGGGUGCGGUGCAGAUGUACGGCCGUGAAGUUUUGUGGCAGAUGAGCUCUUGACUUGGCGGUGAGGGGUGCGGUGCAGAUGUACAGUAAAGUCUUGUGGCAAAUGAGCUCUUGAUUUGGCGGCAAGGAAAGCGGCUGGUUAUUGAUUUGAAGCAGAAAAGAUUGGAAUUUAUGAAUAUGUUUUCAAGUAGUUAGUAGUUUAGAGUUAAAGUUAAAGUUUAUCAUGCAUUGUAUAGCUGAGGAAUAAAGUCAGUUCUUAUGAGUUGAGGAUAGUUCUAUUAAUAUGAAUUACUCGAAAAUUAUAAUCUAUUGCUGAAAAUCUUGAUGUUUAGGUAUUAUAAUGACAAUAGGUAGAAACUGUUGCGUAUAAAAUAUAAAAAUUUAAUAAGUUUGAGGACAAACUUAAUGUAGUGAGGACGGCCGACUGUUAGAUAUUCAUAAAUAAACGCAAGUAUUAUAAAAUAAUGUAUACAAUUUGUAGUGUUAGAAACGUGGCAACCCUUCGCGAUGGUAACAUUAAGUGGUCAGCUGUCAACAGCGAUGACGGUUAGGAUAGUCGAGUGAAUCAUUAGAAAAGCGAUUGGGGAAAAGCUAUAUUGUGUAAAAUGCAUAUAGAAUGAUAUCAUUGUGAAUCUUAGAAUAAGUACGCAGUUGUGAAUAUCUAAGUAAUGAUGAUGAGCUUAAUGUCUUGAAUAUACAAUAUAUAUAAACCGAA
Long non-coding RNA from Maniola jurtina (meadow brown), 887 nucleotides. RefSeq lists it as uncharacterized. The transcript is spliced from 2 exons. The record is from RefSeq and is a predicted model, not a curated record. NCBI's taxonomy places the organism in Eukaryota, Metazoa, Arthropoda, Insecta, Lepidoptera, Nymphalidae.